AUUGAACGCUAGCGGGAUGCCUUACACAUGCAAGUCGAACGGCAGCACGGACUUCGGUCUGGUGGCGAGUGGCGAACGGGUGAGUAGCGUAUCGGAACGUGCCCAGUAGCGGGGGAUCACUACGCGAAAGCGUAGCUAAUACCGCAUACGCCCUAAGGGGGAAAGCGGGGGAUCGCAAGACCUCGCACUAUUGGAGCGGCCGAUAUCGGAUUAGCUAGUUGGUGGGGUAAAGGCCUACCAAGGCGACGAUCCGUAGCUGGUUUGAGAGGACGGCCAGCCACACUGGGACUGAGACACGGCCCAGACUCCUACGGGAGGCAGCAGUGGGGAAUUUUGGACAAUGGGGGCAACCCUGAUCCAGCCAUUUCGCGUGUGCGAUGGAGGCCUUCGGGUUGUAAAGCACUUUUGGCAGGGAAGAAAGGGCUUAGGUUAAUAGCCUAGGUUGAUGACGGUACCUGCAGAAUAAGCACCGGCUAACUACGUGCCAGCAGCCGCCGUAA
This 500-nucleotide ribosomal RNA is filed under the name uncultured bacterium. Its description in RNAcentral is "partial 16S ribosomal RNA". It matches the Rfam family "Bacterial small subunit ribosomal RNA", at positions 29 to 523 of the family's 1533-position model. The record is from RNAcentral.